GAUGAACGCUAGCGGCAGGCCUAAUACAUGCAAGUCGGACGGGAUUUGGGAGCUUGCUCCUGAUGAGAGUGGCGCACGGGUGCGUAACACGUAUGUAACCUACCUUGAUCUGGGGGAUAGCCUCUCGAAAGAGAGAUUAACACCGCAUAAUAUUAUUUGGCAGCAUUGUUGAAUAAUCAAAUAUUUAUAGGAUCAAGAUGGGCAUGCGGAACAUUAGCUAGUUGGUAAGGUAAUGGCUUACCAAGGCUACGACGCGUAACCGGACUGAGAGGUCGGCCGGUCACAUUGGGACUGAGACACUGCCCAGACUCCUACGGGGGGCUGCAGUAACGAAUCUUCCGCAAUGCCCGCAAGGGUGACGGAGCGACGCCGCGUGUGGGACGAAGUCCUGGA
RNAcentral lists this ribosomal RNA (393 nucleotides) under uncultured bacterium. Its description in RNAcentral is "bacterial SSU rRNA". It matches the Rfam family "Bacterial small subunit ribosomal RNA", at positions 28 to 423 of the family's 1533-position model. The record is from RNAcentral.